RNAcentral lists this long non-coding RNA (833 nucleotides) under Cyanistes caeruleus (blue tit). RNAcentral's name for it is "lncRNA (ENSCCEG00000002101.1)". Lineage: Eukaryota; Metazoa; Chordata; Aves; Passeriformes; Paridae. The record is from RNAcentral.
CCUACCUGCAACUCAGUGUGGAGGAUGGUUUAUUGAUAGUGAGGGGAUGGAAGGGUAGGAGCUGCCUGCCUCCCACACCCAUUGCUUGUGCUAGGGCAGCUCCAUGGCAGCUGCGUCAGGGAUGCAUGUGAGAGGCAAAUUCUCUCCUCCUGGCCCAGGAAAAGGUCAGAUGCAGUGUGUCUUUGGAAAGAGUCAGUGGGAAAUAUCUCCUGGGGGAGUCUGGUUGGCAUGUUGAUGUGGUUUCUUGUAAAGGUGGCUAUACUCUGAGACAAAACUCUUGGCUGGUCAGUUGAAAGUCCUUCACAACUAAAUGUGAUGGGAAUACCUGUGAACAGCCUGUGCUUUAAGAUUAGCAUCAAAGAUCACAAGUUGCAGAGAGAGACCACUAUCCUUCUUGGACCUCCCAAGCAAGUUGCAGGAGCCUGGGGAACAGGGCAGGGGCCUCAGCUCUCCCAGGUAAUGCAAGAGGGGGCAGAGGAUCAGAUCCCUGCCCUCUUCUCACGCCUUUUAAUUAGAUGGAAUUCAAACAAGCUAACUGAAGAGUGGGAUAAUUUCAUUUCAUAUGUUGGGGGGUGGAAACCUGCCUGUAUUUCCCAAUUCUUUAGGACAUGUGUUAAGACAACAGACAUAACAGAAGGGGCCAUGAAUGGAACAUACUGUAAAAAAAAGGUAAUUGUCUUGAUGAGAUUGCAGUUUAUAAAUAUAGCAACUCCAUCAUCCAAAAGGGAGUUUCUGUGCCAAAGCCUUAUAUGUUAGAAACAAACCUAUUUCAUCAUAAAUCAAAUAUUUCUCCAGGCAUCAUGUUUGUACAAACUGAACUUAUUUGCCAGUCA